CAGAGGAUUCGAUUAUGGCUCAGAUUGAACGCUGGCGGGAUGCUUUACACAUGCAAGUCGAACGGCAGCACGGACUUCAGUGCUGGUGGCGAAAGUGGCGAACAGGUGAGUAAUGUAUCGGAACGUGCCUAGUAGCGGGGGGAUAACUACGCGAAAGCGUAGCUAAUACCGCAUACGCCCGCUGAGGAAAGCAGGGGGACCUUCGGGCCUCGCACUAUUAAACGGCCGAUAUCGGAUUAGCUAGUUGGUGGGGUAACGGCUCACCAAGGCGACGAUCCGUAGCUGGUUUGAGAGGACGACCAGCCACACUGGGACUGAGACACGGCCCAGACUCCUACGGGAAGCGGCAGUGCGGGAAUUUUUUGGACAAUGGGGAAACCUGAUCCAGCCAUCCCGCGUGCGAUGAAGGCCUUCCGGGUUGUAAAGCACUUUUGGCAGGAAAGAAGCGGCACGGGAUAAUACCCCGUGCAACUGACGGUACCUGCAGAAUAAGCACCGGCUAACUACGUGCCAGCAGCCGCGGUAAUACGUAGGGUGCAAGCGUUAAUCGGAAUUACUGGGCGUAAAGCGUGCGCAGGCGGUUCGGGAAGAAGAUGUGAAAUCCCAGAGCUUAACUUUGGAACUGCAUUUUUAACUACCGAGCUAGAGUGUGUCAGAGGAGGUGGAAUUCCGCGUGUAGCAGUGAAAUGCGUAGAUAUGCGGAGGAACACCGAUGACGAAGAGCAGCCUCCUGGGAUAACACUGACGCUCAUGCACGAAAGCGUGGGGGAGCAAACGAGUUAGAUACCCUGGUAGUCCACGCCCUAAACGAUGUCAACUAGCUGUUGGGGCCUUCGGGCCUUGGUAGCGCAGCUAACGCGUGAAGUUGACCGCCUGGGAGUACGGUCGCAAGAUUAAAACUCAAAGGAAUUGACGGGGACCCGCACAAGCGGUGGAUGAUGUGGAUUAAUUCGAUGCAACGCGAAAAACCUUACCUACCCUUGACAUGUCUGGAAUCCCGAAGAGAUUUGGGAGUGCUCGCAAGAGAACCGGAACACAGGUGCUGCAUGGCUGUCGUCAGCUCGUGUCGUGAGAUGUUGGGUUAAGUCCCGCAGCAGAGCGCAACCCUUGUCAUUAGUUGCUACGAAAGGGCACUCUAAUGAGACUGCCGGUGACAAACCGGAGGAAGGUGGGGAUGACGUCAAGUCCUCAUGGCCCUUAUGGGUAGGGCUUCACACGUCAUACAAUGGUCGGGACAGAGGGUCGCCAGCCCGCGAGGGGGAGCCAAUCCAGAAACCCGAUCGUAGUCCGGAUCGCAGUCUGCAGCUCGACUGCGUGAAGUCGGAAUCGCUAGUAAUCGCGGAUCAGCAUGUCGCGGUGAAUACGUUCCCGGGUCUUGUACGCACCGCCCACGUCACACCAUGGGAGUGGGUUUUACCAGAAGUAGUUAGCCUAACCGUAAAGGAGGGCGAUUACCACGGUAGGAUUCAUGACUGGGGGUGGGCGUAUGGUA
RNAcentral lists this ribosomal RNA (1492 nucleotides) under uncultured Bordetella sp. RNAcentral describes it as "partial 16S-23S ribosomal RNA intergenic spacer". It matches the Rfam family "Bacterial small subunit ribosomal RNA". Lineage: Bacteria; Pseudomonadati; Pseudomonadota; Betaproteobacteria; Burkholderiales; Alcaligenaceae. The record is from RNAcentral.